RNAcentral lists this transfer RNA (121 nucleotides) under Mayetiola destructor (Hessian fly). RNAcentral's name for it is "tRNA-Leu for anticodon CAA". It matches the Rfam family "tRNA". Rfam says of the family: Transfer RNA (tRNA) molecules are approximately 80 nucleotides in length. Lineage: Eukaryota; Metazoa; Arthropoda; Insecta; Diptera; Cecidomyiidae. The record is from RNAcentral.
GUCAGGAUGGCCGAGCGGUCUAAGGCGCCAGACUCAAGAUUUCAAAUCUUGCUCAUGAGAAGUGAGUGAUUGAGCCUUCUGGUCCUCUCUGAGGGCGUGGGUUCAAAUCCCACUCCUGACA